This is a non-coding RNA of Schistocerca piceifrons (Central American locust), 72 nucleotides long. NCBI's taxonomy places the organism in Eukaryota, Metazoa, Arthropoda, Insecta, Orthoptera, Acrididae. The record is from the annotation of a RefSeq genome assembly.
GCCAAGGUGUCUUAGUGGGUAACGCCCCUGUCUAGUAAGCAGGAGACCCGGGUUCGAUUCCCGGCCUUGGCA